RNAcentral lists this ribosomal RNA (497 nucleotides) under uncultured bacterium. RNAcentral's name for it is "partial 16S ribosomal RNA". It matches the Rfam family "Bacterial small subunit ribosomal RNA", at positions 28 to 507 of the family's 1533-position model. The record is from RNAcentral.
GAUGAACGCUGGCGGCGUGCCUAAUACAUGCAAGUAGAACGCUGAAGGAAGGAGCUUGCUCUUUCCGGAUGAGUUGCGAACGGGUGAGUAACGCGUAGGUAACCUGCCUGGUAGCGGGGGAUAACUAUUGGAAACGAUAGCUAAUACCGCAUAACAGUAGAUGUUGCAUGAUAUCUACUUAAAAGGUGCAAUUGCACCACUACCAGAUGGACCUGCGUUGUAUUAGCUAGUUGGUGAGGUAACGGCUCACCAAGGCGACGAUACAUAGCCGACCUGAGAGGGUGAGCGGCCACACUGGGACUGAGACACGGCCCAGACUCCUACGGGAGGCAGCAGUAGGGAAUCUUCGGCAAUGGACGGAAGUCUGACCGAGCAACGCCGCGUGAGUGAAGAAGGGUUUCGGAUCGUAAAGCUCUGUUGUAAGAGAAGAACGAGUGUGAGAGUGGAAAGUUCACACUGUGACGGUAUCUUACCAGAAAGGGACGGCUAACUACGUG